RNAcentral lists this ribosomal RNA (424 nucleotides) under Loxopholis southi. RNAcentral describes it as "partial 16S ribosomal RNA". It matches the Rfam family "Bacterial large subunit ribosomal RNA", at positions 1951 to 2594 of the family's 2925-position model. Lineage: Eukaryota; Metazoa; Chordata; Lepidosauria; Squamata; Gymnophthalmidae. The record is from RNAcentral.
CAAAGGUAGCAUAAUCACUUGUCCUUUAAAUAAGGAUUAGUAUGAAUGGCCACAUGAAGAUUUUCCUGUCUCUUGUAGAAAAUCUAUGAAACUGAUCUUUCAGUACAAAAGCUGACAUAAUUACACAAGACGAAAAGACCCUGUGGAACUUUAAACAAUAGCCAAAUAACAUGACUUCACUUGCUUUUAGUUGGGGCAACUAUGGAAAUAAACUAAACUUCCACAACAAUACACAGGUGGACACACCAAUACCCCCCUUCCCCGAUCCAGUACUUACUGAAAAAGAACCAAGCUACCCCAGGGAUAACAGCGCUAUCCCCUCUUAGAGCCCCCAUCGAUGAGGGGGUUUACGACCUCGAUGUUGGAUCACGGCCCCCAAACAGUGCAACAGCUGUUAAAGGUUUGUUUGUUCAACAAUUAAUGC